RNAcentral lists this ribosomal RNA (365 nucleotides) under Staphylococcus epidermidis. Its description in RNAcentral is "bacterial SSU rRNA". It matches the Rfam family "Bacterial small subunit ribosomal RNA", at positions 279 to 636 of the family's 1533-position model. The record is from RNAcentral. Lineage: Bacteria; Bacillati; Bacillota; Bacilli; Caryophanales; Staphylococcaceae.
AUGCGUAGCCAACCUGAGAGGGUGAUCGGCCACACUGGAACUGAGACACGGUCCAGACUCCUACGGGAGGCAGCAGUAGGGAAUCUUCCGCAAUGGGCGAAAGCCUGACGGAGCAACGCCGCGUGAGUGAUGAAGGUCUUCGGAUCGUAAAACUCUGUUAUUAGGGAACAACAAAUGUGUAAGUAACUAUGCACGUCUUGACGGUACCUAAACAGAAAGCCGGGGCUAACUACGUGCCAACAGCCGCGGCAAUACGUAAGAGGCAAGCGUUAUCCGGAAUUAUUGGGCGUAAAGCGCGCGUAAGCGGGUUUUUAAGACUGAUGUGAGGGCCCACGGCUCAAGGGUGGGGGGUCAUUGGAGACUGG